This is a long non-coding RNA of Serinus canaria (Common canary), 4278 nucleotides long. RefSeq lists it as uncharacterized. The transcript is spliced from 2 exons. The record is from RefSeq and is a predicted model, not a curated record. NCBI's taxonomy places the organism in Eukaryota, Metazoa, Chordata, Aves, Passeriformes, Fringillidae.
CCUUCUGCUGCUGGGAGUGGGUCUGGAGGAGCCCUGGAGGCUCAGGCUGAGUCUGGAUCCUGCUGGAGGUGCUCGGGGGGCAGCACGUGCAGGAAUGAAUCUGUCACUCUUUCACCAACGUGGUGCUGCCAGCUUGUGCUGCUGGUGUUUGUGGGACAGAAUGGGUGAGCAGUGCUGAGCUUUGGACAGCAGGACAGGGCCUGCAUUUUCCAGGGUAAGCUGCUCUGAGAAUGAUUCGUCAUGAGGACUACUGCAGAAUGUUACAUAUGAUUUUUGUUUCUAAUUUUCUACACUCUUUAUGUGGAAAGCCAUAAUGAGAAUCUCUAUCUGAGGCAGGAUUCAUGAAGCAGCAGCAGGAAUUGUGCUCAGCCCUUUGGUAACUCCACAGGGGCUGGAGUUCCCUUGGCUUAUUGCAUCUAUUUUUGACAUGGAACCACUCAGAUGGUGAAGAGAUCAGCUGGCCACGCUCGUCCUGCACACAGAAAACGAGGAAAUGACUCUUCCCUGUGGGAAGGGAAGGAGAAAAGGCCCUGCAGAUGAGUGCAGGGGUGCGUGUGACACCCCAGAGGGUCUGAUCAGCCCUGGCUCCAUGACUCCAGAAGGCUGAUCAAUCUCUUUAUUGAACUAGACUUAUUAAUAAUCCCAUUGCCCUCACAGACAGUCUGACACAGGUGGGCCCAACUGGUCCUUGACUCCAAACCCACCACCAGUGGCCAACUGAGAAAUCACCCUUGGUACACAAAUCUCCCUAACACUUUGCACAUGUGCACAGCAACAGGGGCAACGAGUGGAGAUCAGAAUUGUUUCUCAUUCUUUCCUCUGGGUUCUCACAGCCUGCCCCAGGACCGUGCCUGGGAAUGCUGUGUUUUCUCUCUGUGGCCAGAGAGCUGCUCCACAGGUACAGGAGCUGUUCAGGCACUAAGGACAUAUGAAAUAAAUUGUAUUUUAGGAUUAAGGGGCGAAAUCUGGGGAGGCUCUGAGACAAAUCUGAGGCCCUGUGAGAGCUGCAGUUAAUUGAAGGGUCUCAGAUGUGUUUUUUUAACCGUUUGAAAUUUGUUUUCCCAGAACUGGGAUCUCUUUGGGAGAGCUGUGACUGGGGCUCACACACAUCACUUUGAAUUUGAUAUUUCAAAACGAGCUGGGCUUCCACACCCCUCUGCACGGAAUGCCAGGAAAUGUGGAUUCCUGUCAGCCUUUCAUUUGCACAGGGCUUGUCUGCGUGGUCUCCUCCUCCCAGCUCCUCCCCAGGGGACAGCUCUGGGAGUGGGGAGCCCGAGGACACGGGAUGCCCCGAGCUGAGGGGGCAGCACGUGCAGCUGUGAGUGCUGAGCCAGAUGUUCCCCAGGGCUCAGAGCCCUCCCUGCAGCCCCUGGAAAGGCCCAGAGCUGGAUGUGGCUCUGCACAGGGACCCAGCCAGCUGCAGGAGACACGGGCCAGUGAGUAAAGGUCCCUCUUAUGAACAAAGGCCAUUAGUGCUUUGCCAAGGCCUUCCCUUGAGGUGUCUAAAUCAAUUCCCUGGGACUGACAGGGCUUGCAGAGCAGCCCUGUGAGUGAGAGGGACUCAGCUCAGCUCCUUCCUUCUGGGUGUGCAGCUCCACAUUCACCUGGGCAACAAAAGUCAUUGUUCAGGUCCAAGGAAAACUUGUUGUAGCAAUUUUUCUUUUCUGGUGGCUUUGCAGGGACUGAACAUAUUCUGGAAAUCUCCAGAUCUCCAAGUGGCCUUUAAUUAAUUAAUCUUGAUAAACUGGCUGUGCCUAAUGGGGGGAUUUCCCAAAGUUCCCGGGCUUUGGGAUGGACCCUCCUGCAGUGGGAAGAGCACAGGGCUGUGGCAGGCAGCUCUGGGGGUGCCACUGUGGCAGGGGAGAGGAGGGGUCCUGGAACCACAGCACGGUUCUGGUUGGAAAGGACCCUAGAGCUCAUUGUGGUGUGGGGUUACACGCCUUUCUGAGGGGAAAAGACCCCAAGAGCUCUCUCUGUGCUUCUGCAGCCCCUGCACACACCAAACUGAAACUGCACCUUUCGUUCCUCUGCCUGGAAUUCCCCAGCAAUUCCUGCAGCUGCAGGGGCUGCCUGGGACAGACACAGCCCAGCCUUUGGUAGGGCUGUUUGCAGGCCUUGUGGUGCCAACCCACAGCUCCUGGUGACAGCUGACAGGACCCAGACUGGGGCACAGGACCCAAACUGGGGGGACUGCGUGGCCCCUGCCCAAGGGACAGGGCUGGGCACUGGUGCUCUGACAAAAGCCCACCUCCUGCCCAGACUGGCAGCCAGGCUCCCUCUUUGGGCACACAGGGGAGUCCGUGGCCCCCAGCUUUGCCAGCCUUUCCUCAGUGUGCUGCCAGGAGCAAUGACAGACUGAACAGCUGGAUGGGAACAGCUGGAUGGGAACAGCUGGAUGGGAACAGCUGGAUGGGACAGCCUGCCUUCCCCUCUGCCAGCCAGGGCUGCCUGAGGAUCAGCAGAGCCCCAGGAAUAUUCAGAGCACAGCUCAACCUCAGGCUCCUUCUUUAUUUUUGAGAGAGGAAACACCAGUAUUUGCAGGGCCACUCUCUAGUACUGUGCCUGGCCAGCCUGAUUGCUUUUCUCCCCAGCCCUCACGGGCUCUGUGCUGAGGGCAGUGCUCAGGCACUCCUGGUGCAGAUUUCAGAUAUACGAGUGUGUUUUGUUUGAAUCCCCAGGGCUGGUGUCAGCCCUGAGCCCGUGGGAGGGGAGCCAGGAGUGCCUCCAGGCUGGGGAGGGCUGGGGCACAGCCAGGGCUCAGCUGAGCUGAGCUGAGCAGUGCUGGUUGUAUUUUAACACUGUCCAAAUAUUAACUCUGCCCAGAGGAUGUGGAGGUGUUUCCUUGGCAUGGCAGCGUCCGGAGCAGACACUGCCAGACACAGCAUCUGCUUACAGCUCCUCGGAGCAGCCUGGCUCUGAGUGAGAGAACAGGGGCAGAGAACAGGCAGCACAGCCCCUGGGCCAGGGGAAGUGACAGGACAGGCUCCUGCUGCCACCCUGGGCCAGGGGAAGUGACAGAACAGGCUCCUGCUGCCACCCUGGGCCAGGGGAAGUGACAGAACAGGCUCCUGCUGCCACCCUGGGCCAGGGGAAGUGACAGGACAGGCUCCUGCUGCCACCCUGGGCCAGGGGAAGUGACAGGACAGGCUCCUGCUGCCACCCUGGGCCAGGGGAAGUGACAGGACAGGCUCCUGCUGCCACCUUGGGCCAGCAGGGCCACAGGGGCCAGGCACUGACUCAGGGCAGUGUGAGCUGGCCCUGCACCAAUCCUGCUCUGGAGCCACAUCAAACACAGCUCCCAUUGUUCCUGCUUUGCUCCAGGUGAUGAUAGAAUUUUUUGUAACGUUUUUUGAAAUCAGGCAACAAUCUACAAAAUCCUCACCGUGGACAGGGUGAGUUUUGGUGAUUUGGCUGAAGAAAGGGAGUUGAAAAGUAAACUCAAGCUCAAAUUAGAUUUAUGCUCACAUAACCUCACUUUUACAGAAGAACACACAGCCACAGGGGCUUUCUUUAGCUCUGCCCUGGAGUAGCAGCUGCUGCAGGUCUCAGGAAGUUUCCACUGAAAUGCACCCACACUCUAUGAAUACUUGCUUUUUCACCUCUACAUUUUUCUCUCUGGGGCCUUUAAGCAAGUUUUAUUGUAGUGUUUAUACAGCCAACUCACUCUGCCCUUGGUUUAUGUUUUUCUCGCCUGCAGCCACUGAAUUCUGAGGUUUAUUAGUUACAGGUAUCUGAAAUCACAUUUUUUUAGAAUUGACUGCCUAAUAAAGCCCCUUAAAAGUUUCUGUUUAAGGCAAUUGUCCUCCACCCCAGGAUCAGGUUUUUAUGAGUUUUUAUACCCAGGAUCAACAAUUUCUUUGUGGUGUUUAUUCCCAGCAGGGCAGGUAGCAGGGAUCCAUCCAUUCCACCCAACCAGCUCUGCAUCAGCCCACUGGAGAAGCACCCAGGCCAAGAGCUGCCUUUGGGACAGCUGUACAGCACAAGGCUGAUGGUUUUCUGGCCUGCAAGCAUGCAAAGCCCAGCCUGAGCAGCCCCAGGGCAAAGCCCAGCCUGGGGCUCUCUCUCACCCCCAAAGCCAGGCUCUGCAGGGAGAGAGCCCACUGCAGCUUCCCCCUCACACCAGGAAUUUCUGCCCAGUUCCAGAAGCACAGGGGUGCAGAGCUGGCUCCAGCUCCCCACACCAGCUGUGCCCCACAAAUCCCUGCUCCUAGCCCCUGACCCCGAGGACAGGGCUCCUGCACAUGGCUCCAGUGCCAAGGAAUAAAUAAAUAAAGCUCA